This 41-nucleotide transfer RNA is filed under the name Mecistops cataphractus (African slender-snouted crocodile). Its description in RNAcentral is "partial tRNA-Gly". Lineage: Eukaryota; Metazoa; Chordata; Crocodylia; Crocodylidae. The record is from RNAcentral.
UCCAAUCAUUAGACCCUGACACCUAACCCCAGGGAAGAGCA